CCUACGGGUGGCAGCAGUGAGGAAUAUUGGUCAAUGGGCGCGAGCCUGAACCAGCCAAGUCGCGUGAGGGAAGACGGUCCUAUGGAUUGUAAACCUCUUUUGUCGGGGAGCAAAAGACGCCACGCGUGGCGUUCCGAGAGUACCCGAAGAAAAACCACCGGCUAACGCCGUGCCAGCAGCCGCGGUAACACGGAGGAUGCGAGCGUUAUCCGGAUUUAUUGGGUUUAAAGGGUGCGCAGGCGGAAGAUCAAGCCAGCGGUAAAAUUGAGGGGCGCAACCUCUUCGAGCCGUUGAAACUGGUUUUCUUGAGUGAGCGAGAAGUAUGCGGAAUGCGUGGUGUAGCGGUGAAAUGCAUAGAUAUCACGCAGAACUCCGAUUGCGAAGGCAGCUUACCAGGCUACUUCUGACGUUGAGGCACGAAAGCGUGGGGAGCAAACAGGAUUAGAUACCCGGGUAGUC
This 459-nucleotide ribosomal RNA is filed under the name uncultured bacterium. Its description in RNAcentral is "partial 16S ribosomal RNA". It matches the Rfam family "Bacterial small subunit ribosomal RNA", at positions 338 to 795 of the family's 1533-position model. The record is from RNAcentral.